GGAGGAAGUAGGGGAUCGCAAGACCUUGCGCUUUUGGAGCGGCCGAUGCCUGAUUAGCUUGUUGGUGAGGUAAAAGCUCACCAAGGCUCCGAUCAGUAGCUGGUCUGAGAGGACGACCAGCCACACUGGGACUGAGACACGGCCCAGACUCCUACGGGAGGCAGCAGUGGGGAAUUUUGGACAAUGGGGGCAACCCUGAUCCAGCCAUGCCGCGUGAGUGAAGAAGGCCUUCGGGUUGUAAAGCUCUUUCAGCCGGAACGAAACGGUCACGGUUAAUACCCGUGACUACUGACGGUACCGGAAGAAGAAGCACCGGCUAACUACGUGCCAGCAGCCGCGGUAAUACGUAGGGUGCGAGCGUUAAUCGGAAUUACUGGGCGUAAAGCGUGCGCAGGCGGUUUUGUAAGUCAGAUGUGAAAUCCCCGGGCUUAACCUGGGAACUGCGUUUGAAACUACAAGGCUAG
Molecule: ribosomal RNA, 464 nt
Filed under: uncultured bacterium
Lineage: Bacteria
Description: bacterial SSU rRNA
Rfam family: Bacterial small subunit ribosomal RNA
Source: RNAcentral